This 203-nucleotide long non-coding RNA is filed under the name Capsicum annuum. RNAcentral's name for it is "long non-coding RNA (CANN_LNC001464)". The record is from RNAcentral. Lineage: Eukaryota; Viridiplantae; Streptophyta; Magnoliopsida; Solanales; Solanaceae.
UUAUUCCAGAAGUACAUCUAGAAUAAAGAAGACAAAAUGCCAGCUGGAAAGAUAAGAUAAAAAGCAAUAAUGGAGCAGAUACGACGCAAUAAUGGAGCAGAAAAAGAGCAAUAAUGGAGCAGAUACGACAGAAGAUAUUUUGACUUAUUUCUUACGAUACAAAUAAUGUAAAUCAUUAACUACUUUUCUUACUUUUCUUACUU